RNAcentral lists this long non-coding RNA (484 nucleotides) under Equus asinus (donkey). Its description in RNAcentral is "lncRNA (ENSEASG00005028776.1, ENSEASG00020001800.1)". Lineage: Eukaryota; Metazoa; Chordata; Mammalia; Perissodactyla; Equidae. The record is from RNAcentral.
CCGUCCCCUGAAUCAGGCGUGCCAGUCAUUCGUCAGCAGGGACCAGGGAGGAAAGGUGGCACAGAGAAUACCGCGUGAACAUGCACCGCCUUUCAAGGCCGCGGCCCCGCCCCUUAGCGAUAGUCUUCCCAGCGCUGUGGGUCCUGACGGAUCAGAGAGAAGAACAUUAUGGGACUCCAAUAGAAGAAGUAGGUUAAAGAGUGUUUUCCUCCCUCUACCCCCUACCAGGUGUGCGUGGGAGAUGAUGUCAUCUAUAACCUUCAUUUGCUCCUUUGCUAGCCUUAAUGUAAGCAUCUUUAACUCUGAAGUGUUCUGUCCCGGGACUGGAUGCUUACUCAUUCUGCAGAGGAUGCAGAAAGGUCACCACACUUACAGCUAAGCCACUGGAAGCAAAUCUGGUGACCCUCCCAAGAGAAAGCCCCUGCUCUGCCCUCAUGUUAAUUUCUUCUGGGCAGAAAUUAUGACCCACAGAGGUAUCUAGUCA